GACAGAAUAGCUCAGUUGGUAGAGCACUGGUGGCGGGCACAAUUCACCUAAGGGGUCUCUGGUUCAAAUCGGGGUUCAGCCA
This is a non-coding RNA of Mycena olivaceomarginata, 82 nucleotides long. NCBI's taxonomy places the organism in Eukaryota, Fungi, Basidiomycota, Agaricomycetes, Agaricales, Mycenaceae. The record is from the annotation of a GenBank genome assembly.